Molecule: ribosomal RNA, 253 nt
Filed under: uncultured bacterium
Lineage: Bacteria
Description: partial 16S ribosomal RNA
Rfam family: Bacterial small subunit ribosomal RNA
Source: RNAcentral
UACGUAGGGCGCAAGCGUUAUCCGGAAUUAUUGGGCGUAAAGAGCUCGUAGGCGGUUUGUCGCGUCUGCCGUGAAAGUCCGGGGCUCAACUCCGGAUCUGCGGUGGGUACGGGCAGACUAGAGUGAUGUAGGGGAGACUGGAAUUCCUGGUGUAGCGGUGAAAUGCGCAGAUAUCAGGAGGAACACCGGCGGCGAAGGCGGCACUCUGGGCCGGUACUGACGCUGAGGAGCGAAAGCGUGGGUAGCAAACAGG